This 256-nucleotide ribosomal RNA is filed under the name uncultured bacterium. RNAcentral's name for it is "partial 16S ribosomal RNA". It matches the Rfam family "Bacterial small subunit ribosomal RNA", at positions 524 to 777 of the family's 1533-position model. The record is from RNAcentral.
UACGAAGGGGGCUAGCGUUGUUCGGAUUUACUGGGCGUAAAGCGCACGUAGGCGGAUCUUUUAAGUCAGAGGUGAAAGCCCGGGGCUCAACCCCGGAACUGCCUUUGAAACUAGAUUGCUAGAAUCCUGGAGAGGUGAGUGGAAUUCCGAGUGUAGAGGUGAAAUUCGUAGAUAUUUCGGAAGAACACCAGUGGCGAAGGCGACUCACUGGACAGGUAUUGACGCUGAGGUGCGAAAGCGUGGGGAGCAAACAGGG